Long non-coding RNA from Gallus gallus (chicken), 294 nucleotides. RefSeq lists it as uncharacterized. Lineage: Eukaryota; Metazoa; Chordata; Aves; Galliformes; Phasianidae. The record is from RefSeq and is a predicted model, not a curated record. The transcript has 2 exons.
AGGUUUUCCAUGGAUGUAAGCAAGCAGUUUUGGACAAGAUGUACUACUGAGAAUCAACACGUUCUCUUUCUCAGUACAGAGAAAAGGCUGGAAAUACCUACCCAAUGACCUGAGAAAUGAAAGCAGCUCUAACUUUACUCUUGAACAGUACCGCAGAAGAAUUAAGGCAGUCAGAAAAAGGAAAACAACGUACACAUCUAGGCUUGAUCAGAGGAUGUAAGCUGCUAUGAGCACACAACACAAAUUUGCACUCAGGUUUUCAAAGCCAUGAUAUAAAAACAUUUUCUUUGCCAA